UUCGGAGAAUUAAUUGAAAAAAUAUACAGAACAACUCAUACAAGAUAUAUAGUCAAAUUUCUUAGGGGGAAGAAGUGAAGUAUGAAGAAAGCAUUUUCUUCGAAUAAGACAACAUGACAAACAUAGGAAAAUUCAUUACAAUCUUUACUGUCUUGUUGUCAUGUGAAAGCUCUUAGAAGUGUAUCCUGCUUGGUUGAGAUUUCUCCAUCCUGGUUUCUCCAUAAGGCUCGUCAUUAUCGAUUCGUUUGUUGUGCCUAAAGGCCGCUAUUGCAACCAUAUAUAUAAUCACAAGAAUGAUCAAUAUGACAAUGUUAAUGACAGACACUUUCCUCCAACUCUUUUUCAGACUUGCCAGAACACCAGCUUUGCAAGAGUUGCAGUUAUAACAGAGUUGUUGUUGAUAAUUGCUCCAUCUACCACAAUCAGGAUCACUUCCUACGAUCCCGCUUCCUGGGUUCCACACCGUCUCAUUCAGGUAAGUGUACCCACAUUCUGUAGGGGGCUUGCAACAACCAGACUCAAGAGGACUAAGCUUUCUAAGAUUAAACAUCUCAACAGGCUCUGGAAUUCCUCUAUUAUAGGUCCUUCUCAUCUUCCCACAAACAUGAGAAUCCCUAAUACAAGAACUGAUUUUUGACCAAUAACUCUGACUUGUAACUCUUUCUUCCAACCACCCAGAAUAAUCUUGCAAAUGGUACUCUGAGUAGACCCGGUUCAUAACGGGUCGACCCGACCCUUUGUCAGUGACAGCAUAAGCAAAAAUGACAAAUCCAAUCAAAGCAGCAAUGAUAAAGAACAUAGCCCAAAGGUAAAGAUACAUAAGGAAAGUGUUUCUAUAACAAGCACCAGCAAAACCUGCUAAAGAAACAACCAUAAUAGAAACCCCAAUAACUAUUAAGGGCCAUUGAAGAAAUUUUAAGCAAUCUGUGUUGUUG
Molecule: unclassified non-coding RNA, 935 nt
Filed under: Hevea brasiliensis (rubber tree)
Lineage: Eukaryota; Viridiplantae; Streptophyta; Magnoliopsida; Malpighiales; Euphorbiaceae
Source: RNAcentral